AGCGGCGGAUGGGUGAGUAACACGUGGGGAACCUGCCCCUAAGUCUGGGAUACCAUUUGGAAACAGGUGCUAAUACCGGAUAAUAAAGCAGAUCGCAUGAUCAGCUUUUGAAAGGCGGCGUAAGCUGUCGCUAAGGGAUGGCCCCGCGGUGCAUUAGCUAGUUGGUAAGGUAACGGCUUACCAAGGCGACGAUGCAUAGCCGAGUUGAGAGACUGAUCGGCCACAUUGGGACUGAGACACGGCCCAAACUCCUACGGGAGGCAGUAGUAGGGAAUCUUCCACAAUGGACGCAAGUCUGAUGGAGCAACGCCGCGUGAGUGAAGAAGGUUUUCGGAUCGCAAAGCUCUGUUGUUGGUGAAGAAGGAUAGAGGUAGUAACUGGCCUUUAUUUGACGGUAAUCAACCAGAAAGUCACGGCUAACUACGUGCCAGCAGCCGCGGUAAUACGUAGGUGGCAAGCGUUGUCCGGAUUUAUUGGGCGUAAAGCGAGCGCAGGCGGAAAAAUAAGUCUAAUGUGAAAGCCCUCGGCUUAACCGAGGAACUGCAUCGGAAACUGUUUUUCUUGAGUGCAGAAGAGGAGAGUGGAACUCCAUGUGUAGCGGUGGAAUGCGUAGAUAUAUGGAAGAACACCAGUGGCGAAGGCGGCUCUCUGGUCUGCAACUGACGCUGAGGCUCGAAAGCAUGGGUAGCGAACAGGAUUAGAUACCCUGGUAGUCCAUGCCGUAAACGAUGAGUGCUAAGUGU
This 743-nucleotide ribosomal RNA is filed under the name uncultured bacterium. RNAcentral's name for it is "bacterial SSU rRNA". It matches the Rfam family "Bacterial small subunit ribosomal RNA", at positions 94 to 823 of the family's 1533-position model. The record is from RNAcentral.